UGGUUCUGGCAUCGAUGAAGAACGCAGCGAAAUGCGAUAAGUAAUGUGAAUUGCAGAAUUUAGUGAAUCAUCGAAUCUUUGAACGCACAUUGCGCCCUUUGGUAUUCCGAAGGGCACAUCUGUUCGAGCGUCAUUACACCAAAUCAAGUUUAACUUGUUAAUUGAAUAAUUGUUUUCCCUUGAAAACAUAUUCCAAAGCUAUUUAGCAGCAUCAAUUUGAUCUCAAGCGUAAUUGAUACACAAAAUCGUUUGUCAGGUCUUUUUGGCACUUGCUUUAAAACCCAUAAUUUUAAAGGUUGACCUCGAAUCAGAUGGGGAUACCCGCUGA
RNAcentral lists this unclassified non-coding RNA (328 nucleotides) under uncultured fungus. Its description in RNAcentral is "partial contains 5.8S ribosomal RNA and internal transcribed spacer 2". The stretch from base 1 to 133 matches the Rfam family "5.8S ribosomal RNA", at positions 22 to 154 of the family's 154-position model. The record is from RNAcentral. Lineage: Eukaryota; Fungi.